CCUACGGGAGGCAGCAGUGGGGAAUCUUGCGCAAUGGGCGAAAGCCUGACGCAGCAACGCCGCGUGGGGGAUGAAGGCUCUCGGGUUGUAAACCCCUUUCAGCAGGGACGAAUCAAGACGGUACCUGCAGAAGAAGCCCCGGCUAACUACGUGCCAGCAGCCGCGGUAACACGUAGGGGGCAAGCGUUGUCCGGAUUUAUUGGGCGUAAAGAGCUCGUAGGUGGCUGAGUAAGUCGGAUGUCAAAUCCCCAGGCUCAACCUGGGAUCCCAUCCGAUACUGCUCUGGCUAGAGUCCGGUAGGGGAGCGUGGAAUUCCUGGUGUAGCGGUGAAAUGCGCAGAUAUCAGGAGGAACACCAGCGGCGAAGGCGGCGCUCUGGGCCGGUACUGACACUGAGGAGCGAAAGCGUGGGUAGCAAACAGGAUUAGAUACCCUGGUAGUCCACGCCGUAAACGUUGGGCACUAGGUGUGGGACCUAUUCAACGGGUUCCGUGCCGUAGCUAACGCAUUAAGUGCCCCGCCUGGGGAGUACGGCCGCAAGGCUAAAACUCAAAGGAAUUGACGG
RNAcentral lists this ribosomal RNA (564 nucleotides) under uncultured bacterium. RNAcentral's name for it is "bacterial SSU rRNA". It matches the Rfam family "Bacterial small subunit ribosomal RNA", at positions 338 to 916 of the family's 1533-position model. The record is from RNAcentral.